Molecule: non-coding RNA, 26 nt
Filed under: Rattus norvegicus (Norway rat)
Lineage: Eukaryota; Metazoa; Chordata; Mammalia; Rodentia; Muridae
Source: RNAcentral
UCAGACAGGUUGGGUGGGAGCCGGGU